GCCAGUACAGGAUGGACCCGCGUCUGAUUAGCUAGUUGGUAAGGUAACGGCUUACCAAGGCGACGAUCAGUAGCCGACCUGAGAGGGUGAUCGGCCACAUUGGAACUGAGACACGGUCCAAACUCCUACGGGAGGCAGCAGUGGGGAAUAUUGCACAAUGGGCGAAAGCCUGAUGCAGCAACGCCGCGUGAGUGAUGAAGGCCUUCGGGUCGUAAAACUCUGUCCUCAAGGAAGAUAAUGACGGUACUUGAGGAGGAAGCCCCGGCUAACUACGUGCCAGCAGCCGCGGUAAUACGUAGGGGGCUAGCGUUAUCCGGAUUUACUGGGCGUAAAGGGUGCGUAGGCGGUCUUUCAAGUCAGGAGUGAAAGGCUACGGCUCAACCGUAGUAAGCUCUUGAAACUGGGAGACUUGAGUGCAGGAGAGGAGAGUGGAAUUCCUAGUGUAGCGGUGAAAUGCGUAGAUAUUAGGAGGAACACCAGUUGCGAAGGCGGCUCUCUGGACUGUAACUGACGCUGAGGCACGAAAGCGUGGGGAGCAAACAGGAUUAGAUACCCUGGUAGUCCACGCUGUAAACGAUGAGUAC
RNAcentral lists this ribosomal RNA (584 nucleotides) under Clostridioides difficile. RNAcentral describes it as "bacterial SSU rRNA". It matches the Rfam family "Bacterial small subunit ribosomal RNA", at positions 214 to 816 of the family's 1533-position model. The record is from RNAcentral. Lineage: Bacteria; Bacillati; Bacillota; Clostridia; Peptostreptococcales; Peptostreptococcaceae.